GCGAAUCCCUACUUUGUGUGGUAACAGACACUCAGCAUUGGCUCUAAUCACAUCAGGAUUCGUGAAUGGAAGUCCAUGUUGCUGAAUAUAUGUAUAACCCUGUCACUUCCCUAAGGCCACUCUGUUCAUGAGUCCAUUAUGCAAUGACAGAUGGCCCUAAUAGGUGUUCAAAUAUCACCAUGGGACCUGCUGCAACUGGAGAUCUUCAAGGAGCUCUGCCACCCUGCUUCCUAAGACAUCCCUGAGACAUCAGAAGCCUUAGAACAUGAUUGCUUACAAGUUAUUGAGACGGUGUGUUCUAGCCGACUUGAUUUUUUGGACUGUCUGUUGGAAGAACCAGACUUGGAAAUCUUCACAGAUUGCAGAAGUUUCAUGGAUCAAGGUCUGUAUAGCCAUCUGACGUCCCUCUAUACACCUUCCAACCUGGUGGUCAUGUUUUCCUGAAAACUUGGAGAGACAAAGGACCUGAAAACCACUUGUCACCCAAAUGGACAGGCCGCUUUGAGAUUGUUCUCACUACUCACUCGUAAAUAAAGCUUGCAGGUGUGCAACCCUGGAUCCAUCAGUCCAAGAUCAAGGCAGCCCCAGAAUCACAGGAAAGUACCCCACCUGUGUUGAGGGAAAAGUGGACAGCAGAUCCCCUUGGAGAACUAAAAUAUGUCUUUAAAAUAAAAAUUUCACCUUUGUUAUCUAA
Molecule: long non-coding RNA, 694 nt
Organism: Equus asinus (donkey)
Lineage: Eukaryota; Metazoa; Chordata; Mammalia; Perissodactyla; Equidae
Source: Ensembl